ACGGCUCAGUAACACGUCGAUAAUCUACUUAUGGUUCAAGAUAACCUUGGGAAACUGAGGCUAAACUGGGAUACGAGAAAAAGGCUGGAAUGCAUUUUCUCUGAAACGCAAGGCCAUAAGAUGAGUUGGCGGCUGAUUAGGUUGUUGGUGAGGUAAUGGCUCACCAAGCCAGAGAUCAGUAGGGGGGAUGAGAGUCCUAGCCCCGAGAAGGGCACUGAGAUACUGGCCCUAGUCCUAAGGGAUGCAGCAGGCGCGAAAACUUUCCAAUGCACGAAAGUGUGAGAAGGGAACCCAAAGUGCUAAUGCUUUGCAUUGGCUUUUGCUAAGUGUAAAUAGCUUGGCGAAUAAGUGGUGGGUAAUACCGGUGCCAGCCGCCGCGGUAACACCGGAGCCACGAGUGGGAAUCACAUUUAUUGGGUCUAAAGCAUCUGUAGCCGGUUUAAUAAGUUUCUCGUGAAAUCGUUCAGCUUAACUGAACGGCGAGCGAGAAAUACUGUUAGACUUGGAACCGGGAGGAGGUAGGAGUAUUUCAAGGGGAGCGGUAAAAUGCUAUAAUCCCUGAAAGACUACCUGUGGCGAAGGCGUCUAGCUAGAACGGGUCUGACGGUGAGGGACGAAGCCCUGGGGCGCAAACGGGAUUAGAUACCCCGGUAGUCCAGGGUGUAAACGCUGCUUGCUUGAUGUUAGUCUGGCUCCGAGCCAGAUUAGUGUCGGAGAGAAG
RNAcentral lists this ribosomal RNA (721 nucleotides) under uncultured euryarchaeote. Its description in RNAcentral is "bacterial SSU rRNA". It matches the Rfam family "Archaeal small subunit ribosomal RNA", at positions 85 to 811 of the family's 1478-position model. The record is from RNAcentral. Lineage: Archaea; Methanobacteriati; Methanobacteriota.